This is a long non-coding RNA of Rhodamnia argentea, 278 nucleotides long. RefSeq lists it as uncharacterized. NCBI's taxonomy places the organism in Eukaryota, Viridiplantae, Streptophyta, Magnoliopsida, Myrtales, Myrtaceae. The transcript has 4 exons. The record is from RefSeq and is a predicted model, not a curated record.
UCCCCUGAUGUUCUGGGCUUCACGCAGCUUGCUAUAGAUGAGGCAGAGCUUGCUUUGGACAGCCUUGAAGUUCAAGUUGACUGUGUGAUUGUUGAGGAAGGGCACCUUAUUGCGGCAAGAAGAAACAGGACUAAUGAGACACAGAAAGCAAGAAGACGUGCAGAAAUGGAAGCUCACUGAUGUCCUUCUUGAAUGGUGGCGGAGGAAUGGACUUCCGUCUGCAGAAGUUGCAGAGAAAUUUUCAGCAUGCUCCCUUCAUGUGUCAUGUGAAGUACGCA